GACGAACGCUGGCGGCGUGCUUAACACAUGCAAGUCGAACGGAAAGGCCCUGCUUUUGUGGGGUGCUCGAGUGGCGAACGGGUGAGUAACACGUGAGUAACCUGCCCUUCACUUUGGGAUAACUUCAGGAAACUGGGGCUAAUACCGGAUAUGAGCUCCUGCCUCAUGGGGGGGGUUGGAAAGUUUCGGCGGUUGGGGAUGGACUCGCGGCUUAUCAGCUUGUUGGUGGGGUAGUGGCUUACCAAGGCUUUGACGGGUAGCCGGCCUGAGAGGGUGACCGGCCACAUUGGGACUGAGAUACGGCCCAGACUCCUACGGGAGGCAGCAGUGGGGAAUAUUGCACAAUGGGCGGAAGCCUGAUGCAGCAACGCCGCGUGCGGGAUGACGGCCUUCGGGUUGUAAACCGCUUUCGCCUGUGACGAAGCGUGAGUGACGGUAAUGGGUAAAGAAGCACCGGCUAACUACGUG
This 468-nucleotide ribosomal RNA is filed under the name uncultured bacterium. Its description in RNAcentral is "partial 16S ribosomal RNA". It matches the Rfam family "Bacterial small subunit ribosomal RNA", at positions 28 to 507 of the family's 1533-position model. The record is from RNAcentral.